RNAcentral lists this long non-coding RNA (942 nucleotides) under Lathyrus oleraceus (garden pea). RNAcentral's name for it is "Pisum sativum (pea) long non-coding RNA (PSAT_LNC020063)". Lineage: Eukaryota; Viridiplantae; Streptophyta; Magnoliopsida; Fabales; Fabaceae. The record is from RNAcentral.
CCAAUCCCAAAUUUAUUCUAUUUCUAGAUUCCAUUUGUUUCAUACUGUACUAUUACAACAAAAUACAAAAACCAAAUUCAUUCCCAAACUCCAUUACAUCAUAAACCAUUCAAAACCAUUUCUCACAUUUUACUAAUUUCUAAAGCAUAUGUACAUAGUCAUCUCAAGAUUCAAGCAAGUCCGUGACGGCAACUUCGCAUAACAACCAUUUCUAACAUUCCAAUUCAUCAUCUAACAUACAUAAAUACAUCCAAAUUAUUUCAUUACAAUCAUUUAAUCUAAGUCCAAAACAGCUCGGUGGAGUUCAAAUCUUCUAUGCGAUCCAAGUGCCAAUGACACGUUCCAAACAAGCCAUCAUACCUGCAUAAGAAGACAUGUCAUUACUAUUUAGUAUUCAAUUCAUGUGCAUUCUUAAAAACAAAAAAAAAGAAACAAAACAACAAUUGGGACAGGGCAUGAACUUGUGACUGCUGCUUCGUGGAAGUGCAUUUCAAGCAUAUGUCAAACUAUGUAACAAACCUGCAGAGCAUAUCCCCACUUGAAUUCAACCAAAUGUCGGCAUAAAAACCGAUGACAGUUCGAUCAACAAUCCAAUAAGUCAAGGAAAUUUUGUUUCAUAACAAGGCAAUGGUUAGGUAACAAUUAACAAAGCCAUCUUCAGUAACUAACUUAAUGUAACAUGAUUCACUUCACUAAUAGAAAAACAAAUUUUGCUAACUAACAUAAUUCACAUUUUAAAUUAAAGACCAAACCAAUUCCACCUUAUGACCAUCCAAGCUCUUCAACUUAGUUCCAAUUCAAAGCAGAACAACAAUAUAACAUCCAAACAUGGGUUCACAAUUGGACUCUAACUACCCGCCAACAGUAACAAUUCUAACACAUUUUGAUUGACAUCCAAAAUCUCCAAAUCAUAUUCAUACUACAAAAUUUAAGAGCUCUAAU